This 405-nucleotide ribosomal RNA is filed under the name uncultured bacterium. RNAcentral describes it as "bacterial SSU rRNA". It matches the Rfam family "Bacterial small subunit ribosomal RNA", at positions 355 to 776 of the family's 1533-position model. RNAcentral also lists the same sequence under 2 other names. The record is from RNAcentral.
UGGGGGAUAUUGCACAAUGGGGGAAACCCUGAUGCAGCAACGCCGCGUGAAGGAAGAAGGUCUUCGGAUUGUAAACUUUUGUCUUGCGGGACGAAUAAUGACGGUACCGCAGGAGGAAGCCACGGCUAACUACGUGCCAGCAGCCGCGGUAAUACGUAGGUGGCGAGCGUUGUCCGGAAUUACUGGGUGUAAAGGGUGCGUAGGCGGAUUUGCAAGUCAGGUGUGAAAACUAUCGGCUUAACCGGUAGCCUGCACUUGAAACUGUAAGUCUUGAGUGGUGAAGAGGUAAGCGGAAUUCCUAGUGUAGCGGUGAAAUGCGUAGAUAUUAGGAGGAACACCAGUGGCGAAGGCGGCUUACUGGGCACUAACUGACGCUGAGGCACGAAAGCAUGGGGAGCAAACAGG